RNAcentral lists this transfer RNA (67 nucleotides) under Xizicus howardi. RNAcentral's name for it is "tRNA-Trp". The record is from RNAcentral. Lineage: Eukaryota; Metazoa; Arthropoda; Insecta; Orthoptera; Tettigoniidae.
AAGGUUUUAAGUUAAUUAAACUAAUAGCCUUCAAAGCUGUAAAUAAAAUACAUUUUUUUAAACCUUA